GGGUGUAUAGCUCAGUGGUAGAGCACAUGCUUAGCAUGCAUGAGGUCCUGGGUUCAAUCCCCAGUACCUCCU
This is a transfer RNA of Camelus ferus (Wild Bactrian camel), 72 nucleotides long. It matches the Rfam family "tRNA". Rfam says of the family: Transfer RNA (tRNA) molecules are approximately 80 nucleotides in length. The record is from Rfam. Lineage: Eukaryota; Metazoa; Chordata; Mammalia; Artiodactyla; Camelidae.